CAUUAUUGAAAUAAACCUGAUGGGUUGUUGCUGGUUCUCUAGGGAGCAUGUGCACGCCUUGUCAUCUUUAUAUCUCCACCUGUGCACCUUUUGUAGAUCUUACAGGUCUAUGUUGCCCUUUCAUUUACACCAAUGUAUGUUAAUAGAAUGUUGUGACUAUAAAUAUAUAC
This 170-nucleotide ribosomal RNA is filed under the name Cortinarius niveotraganus. Its description in RNAcentral is "5.8S ribosomal RNA". The record is from RNAcentral. Lineage: Eukaryota; Fungi; Basidiomycota; Agaricomycetes; Agaricales; Cortinariaceae.